RNAcentral lists this ribosomal RNA (584 nucleotides) under Colletotrichum truncatum. RNAcentral's name for it is "eukaryotic LSU rRNA". The stretch from base 221 to 374 matches the Rfam family "5.8S ribosomal RNA". Lineage: Eukaryota; Fungi; Ascomycota; Sordariomycetes; Glomerellales; Glomerellaceae. The record is from RNAcentral.
CGUAACAAGGUCUCCGUUGGUGAACCAGCGGAGGGAUCAUUACUGAGUUACCGCUCAUCAACCCUUUGUGAACAUACCUUAACUGUUGCUUCGGCGGGUAGGCGUCCCCUAAAAAGGACGUCUCCCGGCCCUCUCCCGUCCGCGGGUGGGGCGCCCGCCGGAGGAUAACCAAACUCUGAUUUAACGACGUUUCUUCUGAGUGACACAAGCAAAUAAUCAAAACUUUUAACAACGGAUCUCUUGGUUCUGGCAUCGAUGAAGAACGCAGCGAAAUGCGAUAAGUAAUGUGAAUUGCAGAAUUCAGUGAAUCAUCGAAUCUUUGAACGCACAUUGCGCCCGCCAGCAUUCUGGCGGGCAUGCCUGUUCGAGCGUCAUUUCAACCCUCAAGCUCUGCUUGGUGUUGGGGCUCUACGGUUGACGUAGGCCCUUAAAGGUAGUGGCGGACCCUCUCGGAGCCUCCUUUGCGUAGUAACAUUUCGUCUCGCAUUGGGAUUCGGAGGGACUCUAGCCGUAAAACCCCCAAUUUUACUAAGGUUGACCUCGGAUCAGGUAGGAAUACCCGCUGAACUUAAGCAUAUCAAUAA